UAAGUUUAAUAAUUCAUCUAAUUGUCCCGUUCACUUCGUCGGCAAGAUGGCAACAAACUAUGUAAACACUAAGCAGGUAUUUCGCUUGACCUUGAUUACCUUGAAUUAUAUUUUACGUUGGAGUAUUAGUUUAUGAUGAUUCUUAGAUUUGGUGUUGAAAUUUGUGCUAGUUAUAAUAUUUUUGAAAGGUUAGAUAAGUAGUUAAAAUGUUGCUAGUGGAUUGUUUUUGGAUUGUUGGGAUACUGAAGUGUUUUGAUUUUUUUAUGCUUUUUAGAAUUUAAUAUGGAACCAAAUCGACAUUUUGCCAAGAAAGGAAGAACCUUAUUAUCUUUCUUUACAAAGAGCAACAAAUCCGAGGGUGUUCCAACUCCUACAGUACCCAAUCCUCCAAUUGCUACUCCAACUCCUACAGUACCCAAUCCUUCAGUUGCAUCUCCUAAAAUUGACCAGUCUUCAUCUAUCAAUGUUGAGUUAGAACCAUCUGAUUCUAUAGAACGAGACCCAGGAAAAUGAAAGCAAAUAUAUGAAUAUCCGUUUAAUGAACGUGAUCAAAUUAGGCGUGCCUAUUUAAAAGCUGUGCCUUAUCAACCAAAACUUUUGGAGUAUCAAAGCAAAGAAUGUGGAAAAUAGAAACGACGAUUUCAAGAGCAUUGGUACAAUCAGUAUUCUUGGUUGGAGUAUUCACCUUCAACACAAAAGGCAUAUUGUUUUUUCUGCUUCCUUUUUCUCAAUGAAAGUGUUCCACCUAAUAUUUCAUCAUUGGUUACUAUUGGAUUUGAAAGUUGGAAGAGGAUUGGCCAAGGCAGUAAAUGUGCAUUUCUUGUUCAUAUUGGUACAACAUCUUCAUCAUAUCAUAAUGGCUGUAAGAGAAGAGUUGAAGAUCUAAUGAAAUCAACUCAACAUAUUGACAAGGUAAUACACGUUAUAUCAAGUGAGGAAAAACAAAAAAAAUCGUUUGCAUCUAAUGACCACAAUUAUGAGUGUUAUGUGGCUAGCACUUCAAUGUUGUUCAUUUAGAGGCAAUGAUGAAUCUCCAUCUUCACUUAAUCGUGGGAAUUUUCUUGAAAUAGUAGAUGCAUUUGGAUAAAUGAAUAAAAAAAUAGGAGAAGUUGUGUUGGGUAAUGCCCCAAAAAAUGCUACAUACACAUCUCCAGACAUUCAAAAAGAGAUCUUGAGCAUUAUGGCUAAUAGAGUAAGACAGAGAAUCCGUAAAGAAAUUGGGGAUGCAAAGUUUAGUAUUCUUGUUGAUGAAGCUUGAGAUGCAUCUUCACAAGAACGAAUAGCUAUUAUCUUGAGGUUUGUGAAUGGUAAUGGAAUUUUGACAGAACGUUUUUUUGCAAUUAAAAGUGUUAGUGACACUACAUCAUUGAAUCUUAAGAAUCAAAUUUCUAAUGUUUUUGUUCGUCUCAACCUUCAAGUGCAAAAUAUGAGAGGUCAAGGGUAUAAUGGUGCUAAUAACAUGCGUGGUGCUUGGAAUGGACUACAAGCAUUAUUUCUUAUUGGUUGUCCAUAUGCAUAUUAUGUCCAUUAUUUUGCCCAUCGUUUACAACUCACGUUUGUUUCAGCAGCUAGGGAUGUCGCAGAUAUUAAUUCGUUCUUUUCAGAUUUGGACAAUGUUAUUAAUAUGAUUACAUCAUCUCCUAAGCACAUCAAUGAGUUGAAAAGUUCCCAAAAAAAAAAAAGAAAUUGAACAUUUUUUGGAAAUUGGAGAACGAGAGAUUGGAAGUGGGGCUAAUCAAAUUGGUAGCUUGCAACGAGCUGGAGGUACUCGUUGGUCUUCUCAUUACAACUCUGUAAAAAGUUUGAUUGAUAUGUAUGUUGCAACUUGAUAGGUGCUUGAGUAUCUUAGUGAUUAUUCUCCAAAUGUAAGAACUCGGUCUGAAGUGGGUGGUGUAUACAAAAAAUUGACAACAUUUGAAUCUGUAUUUAUUUUGCAUUUAAUGCAUAGAAUGGUAGCAAUCACGAAUGUGCUUUGUCAAGCCUUUCAGAAAAAAAACUCAAGAUAUCUUAACUGCUAUGAAAUUUAUCCAUACUACAAAAACCAUCAUUCAAGAAUUUAGAGAAGAUCGUUGAAAAGAAUUUCUUGAAGAGGUGAAUUGUUUUUGCUCAAAAAAUGAUAUACAUAUACCUAACUUUCAUGGUUCAUUUAUGGUUGGUCGUUCUCAUGGUCGUGAGUAUCCUACCAUCGAACAUCAUUACCACUUCGACAUUUUUAAUGUGGCCAUAGAUUUUCUGAUGACGGAGUUAGAUACAAGAUUUAAUGAGACAUCAUUAGAACUCCUUUCUCUUGGUGUGGCAUUGGAUAUGAAAAAUUCUUUUGAAUCAUUUAACAUGGAUAAUAUUUGCAAGCUUGUAGAGAAAUUUUAUCCUCAAGACUUUACACAGCAAUAUAUUUAUAGUUUGAAAGUUAUGUUCAACAUUAUCAGCAUGAUGUGAUUUCUGAACCUCGAUUUCAAGUAUCUACACUUUCUGAUUUAUGUCAAGAAUUGGUUUUGCAAGUAGAAUAUCGGAGAGUUACAUCAUUUGACUAAAUUGAUUCAUCUAGUGUUGACACUGCCUAUUUCAACGACUACCGUGGAGCAAGCAUUUUUUGCAAUAAAACAUGUGAAGAUGGAAAUUCUCAACAAAAUGGAUGAUGGUUUUCUUGCUGAUUGUAUGACACUUUACAUUGAACGAUAAUUUUCUUUGAAUUUAGAUUUAGAUUUAGAUUUAGAUUCUAUUAUUGAUGAAUUUUAUGCUAUAAUGCAUCGUCGGGUACAACUGCAAUUAAUAAUAUUAUAUUAUGACUUUUUUUGUUAUUUAUUAAUUUUAUUCGUACAUUAAAUUUCUAAAGUUUUGCCCCUCGUACCAUUAAUUCCUGGCUCCGUCCCCGCUGCUUCGAGGCUCUAUCUGAGCCAGCCAAUUUGAAAGUGCUCAAAAAAUUGUACAACUGAGAUGUAAGGUCUAGAUAUAGUGUUACUCUUGGUUUCUUAUCAUAGCAAGAAUUCAAUUAUUUAACAAUACACUUUUUACCAGGUAUCAUAGGAUGAAGUUAUUGUGUCUGAUUGUGGGUUGCAGGAAUACCAAUAACACCAAGUGUUGGGUGGUCUUGGAUCUUCUCAACCAAAAAAGCUAACUCGAGAAGUGAGGUUCUCUCUCACACUUAUAAACUGACCACCAACCCCUUCCACAAUCAAUGUGGAACAAUCUCAACAAUCUUCCCCUCAUACAUUGGGCCUUAUGGGUGAGUAAUCCCGUAUCCCCCUCACACAUCGAGCCUGCAGGAGACCAGACCUGUCUUCCUCGCACACAACGGGCCAUGAAUGAGACCAAACGUGUCUCCACCUCUCACAAACCCGCAUCUUCCAUGAUUAUUGGGCUUGAGACUUGUUGAUAAACUAGGCUCUAAUACAAGUGUUGGGUGGUCUUGGGCCUUUUCAAUUCCAAAAGCAAGCUCAAAAAAUGAGAUUUUCCCUCACACUUAUAAACUAACCACUAGCCCCUUUGACAACCGAUGUAGGACAACAUCGACAUAAAGGCCAUUCAAGGACACAAAACAGUUGUUAUGUCGAGAUGCGUCGGUCGGGAUACCUCGGGCUCAGAUGGAGGGAAGGUGAGGCGGUGUGAUUGAUGGCUUUCAAAGAGCUCUGAAAGAGAGCUGUUUCGGCUCAACAUCCGGACAUAUAAAAUAAGUCGUGAACUCCAGAAAGGAGGAGCCCUGUACAUGUAGGCUUGGGUCUUUCAUUCAGGCCUGGAAGACCUCACUUCGAUAGACGGAUAUUCAUCAGAAUCGAAGCGUGCUUCAUGAAUUGGAAGAGGAUUUUGGAUAAGGCCACCCAAAAAAUGGAACUCUGCCCUCUAUCCAUUUUAAAAAAGAGAUGAAUAGAUGGGGCGAAGCCAGCUGAAGGAAGGGCGCUGAAAGACAUUAGGCACAAUAGCUCGGAUAAUGUGAUUAGAAUUUCCGACCAAAUCUGAGUUAUUUUAAAUAAUAACCAACCGAAUGGAUAGUUUUAAUACUUCUAGAGUGCAGGACUGAACUACGGCACGGAAUUCAAAGGCUGGGCUUAGAAGCAUUCCUUGACUAGAGCGGUCCAUCUCGUCCUAUUGGCAUAUCCAGCACGAGAGAAAGAUAGUUGCCUUGUUUAUGGCCUUUGAAUUUAUUAGGUAUAAUGAUACAUUUGGACAUUCAUAGUUGACAGAAAAUGCACAUGGGAUUUUUGUGCUUGCCUCUUUCUCAAUUGUUGUGCAAAGGAUGCAUUUCACUUCCUAACUUAUACCAUCUUCAUUAUAUGAGUUAUAUGUAUUUUAGUAGUUAACUAAUUUUUUUAGUUGUGUUGCAGGAAAUGAAAUAGUGGGACAACUUAAGCAGGUGUUUACAUCAUCAGGACAGAGUUACGAUGGUUUGGUUAUGGGUUUGCACUAUAAUCGACUUGGUCCAACGGCAUUAUUCCAUGUUUGUUUAGUAUUCUCUUUUAUUUUUUUCUUUUACUUGGUUAGCUCAAUAGAUUUAAAUUAUCUCAAGCUUUCACAUUAAUAUACAUGCUAUCUCAAUCAACCAGACAUGGUAUAGACGCAUGGACCUUGCAAAUUGUAAUAUGGUAUUCCGUUCAUCCACGCUGCUAUACUUUUGGAGGAAAGAAACAUUGAACUAUUAAGGACUUGAAUAUGAAAAAUACAUAUUUCCAUUAUAUCUUUCCGUCCACAGACUUUGAAAAAUACAUAUUUCCAUAAUAUCUUUCUGAUAUUGACACUACGAGAUAACUCGAUCACCAUAUUAUCCCGAGGAUUACGCUACCCUUUUUAUGAUAUCAAUACAUGAAUGCUCAAUCAUUUAUCCCGACGAUAAAUCUUGGAUAAACUUGCAAUUCCACAUAUGAAGUGCUCGAGCAUAUACUCACCCCGAGAGAUUAUGCUCGAGCACUCCCUGCCUUGCUGCUUUAACAUAUUACGAUGGUUGUCCUUGAGCAUAAGUAGUCCUCGAGUAUAUAUGCUCUCCUCAUAACUUACGAUUGUUGAUCCUUCAAUUCCAAUGCAAUUAGGACUCUAACUCAACCAUAUACUUUACUCCCGCAAGGAUUCUAUCCCACACGUGAUUAUGGCAUUGGUCAGUUUCUUCGCCUAAUAGGACUCCAUUGGAUAGAGAUACCCAAAUAUUUGAGUCCCACUAGGAGAAUAUCGCUUACUACUAUAAAUACAGAACCUUAAGCCAUUAUUCAGGUAUGUUUUCAUUAUUCUCCAAUUUAUAGCCUCACGCAUAUAAUUUCCUUUCUGAUUUAAGCAUCGAAGGGGUGACGAGAACAUACCUCAAUACCUUUGUUUCAAGUACUGGAAGACUAAGAUCGUGCUCAGUCCAAAUCAUCAAGCUCGAAAAAUCUGUAGGUACGAUUUUUGGUAGCAUCAUUAGAGCCGUCUGUGGGAAGCACUACCAAAAGCCAUGGUUAACACACAAUCAGGUCUUCCUCCCGCGAGCUCAUUCGCUUCCAUCCCUCAUCUUGCCGAAGAUCAACCAAGUGCCCAUGAAGAAUCGUCAGGAGUGCCCAUACCUCUACCAAUGGUCAUCACAACCGAAGCCUUUGAAGAGCUCCGUCAGCAGGUGGUCACGCUCACGCAACUCUUAAGUCAAAGAAAUUAACAUCCGUCGCCAGCGCAGGCGGAGCAUGGCAAUUUUAUGGCUGAUGCUCGAGCACGACCACCAAGCCCCGCAACUGGUGGAGUAGGAACCUCGCGUAUUCACAUAUGGCCUCAGGGUAGAGAUUGAUCGCCAUGGAUUCCGAUGAAAUUGCCCAGAUCAUCCAAGAAAGAAUUACAGCUAGCCUGCAACGAAAUGCUCGGGGGCCAACCGUUUUCACCCCUAACACUCCAUUCACGCCAGAGAUAUUGUCAUAUCUUUUGCCCGACAGAUUCAAAUAUCCUCGCAUUAAAGAGUAUGAUGGGACGACCGACCCCAUCAACCAUCUCAAUGUAUAUACUGAUGUCAUGAACUUGCAAGUUGCGCCGAAUCAGGUUAUAUACAAAGCCUUUCCACAAAUGCUGACUAAUGCAGCUAGGGAUUGGUUCUCGACAUUGGAGCCAACUCCAUAGCUUCAUUCUCAGAUUUGGUUGAUAAGUUCUCAGCCUUCUUUGCAAGUAGUAAAUGAAUCAAGAAGACGGCGGCCUCUCUCAUGCAACUUCGCCAGGGACCAACUGAAAUCCCACGAGGAUUUAUGACAAGGUUCAAUAAGGAAAGGCUUCAGAUACCUGACCUUCACAUCACAGCUGUCUCCGCCCUUACUUACGCCAUAAGAUGUUAAGCUUUCAAGAUGUCUUUAUCAAAGACCCCGCCGCAGACAGUGACCGAGCUCCUCACCUGAGCUGAAGAAUACAUUAAUAUGGAGGAAAGACUGAAUCCAAAGAGACCUAGUCCUUCCCAUGAAAAAAUCGAGAACAAUAAGCAACAUGAUCCUAUCUUCCGGCAUGAGCUUCCUCGGGAUAAGCGCAGGAAUGAGGCGCCAUCAGCACCUCUCACUCGGUUGAACACCUCUAAGACAAACAUCUUGAUGGAGGUUAAGGAUAUGAAAGAAUUAAAGUGGCCUUCAAGGAUGAAGUCACCCCCUGACACAAGAGAUGGGAGCAAGUAUUGCGAAUUUCACUAGGAUCAUGGGCAUACUACAUAGGAUUGUCAUGCUUUACAGCGAAAAAUUGAAGCCCUUAUCAAAAAAGGAUUUUUAAAGAAUUACAUUGCUCAUGAUAAACGACCAAGGAAUGACCGUGACAAUCAGAAAGAGCCUGGGGCCGAAAGCAGUGCUCAACCUACUGUCGGAACCAUUAAUAUUAUCAUUGGGGGCAUAGCAUCCGGCGGAGAUACAAGUAAUGGACGAAAGCAGUAUGCCCACCAACAUGCUAAUACCCCAAGAGAAUCCUGUGAUGAAGUCAAAGACAUCACUUUUGGUGUAAGAGAUUUGGAAGGAAUAUCAUAUCCUCAUGACGAUGCCUUGGUCAUCUCUACGGUUAUGGCUAACUUCGAAGUAAAGAGGAUUCCGGUUGAUAAUGGGAGUGCAGCAAACAUACUCUCGUAGGAGGCUUUCGCCAAAUGGGGAUCUCUCCCAAACAGUUCAAAGUAGUAAAAACUCUCCUACAGGGAUUUGGUGGUGGAGUCAUUAUCCCUGAAGGCAUCGUCAAGCUCCCGCUUACAUUAGGAACUAGUAGUACACAAGUGACGGAGAUCACACCAUUCCAAGUGGCUAAUACCCCAAUGGCCUACAACAUCAUUCUGGGAAGACCCCUACUGAACAAGAUCCAUGCUAUUGUGUCAACUUUCCACCUUGCCAUGAAGUUUCCCACAGGUCAUGGCAUCGGAGUAGUUCGAGGAGACCAAACAGCGGCUAGACAAUGCUAUGUUACUAGUAUCCGAGGAAUGAGUGCUGACGUCAUGCAACUCGCAGACCUUGAACUCGAGCCAAGAGAUAGAUUAGCCCCCGUUGAGGAGUUGGAAGUGGUCGAGCUCGAGCACGGGAAAGCCAUUACUAUUGGUCGGGAUCUCAAAUCCAACCUCCGGGAGGAGGUCAUCGACUGUCUGUCCCGCAACAUUGAUGUUUUUGCAUGGAAGGUGGAGGAUAUGCCAGGGAUAGACCCACAAGUAGCUGUCCAUAGACUUAAUAUCAAUCCAAGGGCCAAACCUGUUAAGCAAAGGAAGAGGCAGUUUGCACCGGAAAGACGUGUGGUCAUUCAAGAAGAGGUCGGAAAAUUGGUGAGAGCGGGGUUCAUAAGAAAAGUCCAAUACCCCAAUUGGCUCGCUAAUGUUGUUCUUGUGAAAAAGGUCAGUGGCAAAUGGAGGGUCUGCAUUGAUUUCACAGAUCUCAAUAAGACGUGUCCAAAAGACAGCCACCCGUUAUCCAGGAUUGACAAUCUUGUGGAUAACACAUCCGGACCUAAGCUGUACAGCUUCUUAGAUGCAUUCUCAGGGUAUCAUCAAAUCCUCAUGGUCGAAGAAGACCAAGAGAAGACUUCAUUCAUGGCUGAUUUGGCCAUAUAUUGCUAUAGAGUGAUGCCAUUUGGGUAGAAAAAUGCUGGGGUGACAUAUCAGAGGCUCAUCAACAAAGUCUUCGCCGAUUUGAUAGGAAAGAACAUCGAGGCCUAUGUGGAUGACAUGGUUGUAAAGAGUAAGAAGGUGGAGGAACCCAUAUCCGACCUAGAGGAUGUGUUCAUCACCCUAAGAAAAUAUAAGAUGAAGCUCAACCCAAAGAAGUGUGUAUUCGGCGUAGCUUCAGGAAUGUUUCUGGGUUUCAUGAUCACUCAUCGGGGGAUUGAGGCCAACCCCGAUAAGAUUCAGGCUCUGGCAGCAAUGGAAUCACCAAGGACCAAGAAAGAAGUUCAAAAGUUGAUAGGCAGGGUAGUCACCUUAAGCAGGUUCAUGUCCUGAGCAGCAGACAGAUGCUUUCUCUUCUUCAAAGCCCUCAGGGGUAAUCAUUGCUUUGAAUGGAAUGAGGAGUGCGAGAAGGCUUUUCAAGAGCUCAAGCAGACAUUGGUAUCUCCUCCUAUGCUCACCAAACCCGAGCCCGGGGAUACUCUUUAUUUAUACUUAGCCGUAUAUCAGAAUGUAGUCAAUGGUGUCUUGGUGAAAGAGGUUAACAGAGCCCAGCAACCCAUUUAUUAUGUAAGCAAAGUCCUACUUGAUGCAAAAACAAGAUACACUUUGGCAGAACAACUUGCCCUUGCACUGAGAGUGGCAGCACGAAAACUUCGGCAUAUUUUCAAUCACAUCCUAUUGUAGUGCUCACAAAUCAGCCUCUAAAACACAUUCUUCAAAAACCAGACGUCUUAGGAAGAUUACUGAGGUGGGCAAUUGAACUCGGAGAAUUUGACAUAGAGUUCAAGCCCCGCCCAUCUAUCAAAGCUCAGGCCUUAGCUGACUUCAUUACGAAACACACCCCAAGGCCUCGGGGGCCAGAUGGCUGCUUGAGCUCGACCAUAGGUGUGUGGCAAAUUUUUGUAGAUGGAGCAUCAAACUCCUCGGGCUCGGGUGCAGGGGUUAUAAUCAUAAGCCCAGACAUGCUCAUAAACAUUCAGUGCACACUGAGGUUCGAGUUUGAGGCGACCAAUAAUGAAGCAGAGUAUGAGGCCGUCAUCAUAGCCAUUGAACUUGCCAUCAAUCUCGAGCUUGAAAAUAUCAAAAUUUACAAUGAUUUUGAGUUGGUGGUUGGACAAAUCGAAGAGACGUUCGAUAGAAAGGACGAAAAGAUGAGCUUAUACUGCUUGAAAGUGCAUGAUCUCCAGAGAAAGUUCAAGAUUUGUGAAAUAGUGAAAAUUACUCGGGCUGAGAAUUGUAAGGCCGAUGCCUUGUCAAGAUUGGUGUUCAUGGGAAUAGAUGGGCUUGACAGGACAGUCCACGUCAAGAUUGUAACCGAGCCAAGCAUCAAUCAGACCGUAGGCAUCAUGGAUAUUGAUAAUGAGCCAUCGUGGAUGGACCCAAUAGUGGACUUCAUAAAACAUGGCAGUCUUCCAGAAGAUCCUCGAGCAGCGAGAAGCAUCCGGUCCAAGGCUCCGAAGUAUUGCAUGAUUGACGGAGUUUUAUUUCGUAGGAGCCUCACACUUCCAUACCUCAGAUGCCUUAGGCCUUCCGAAUCAUCCCAGGCCCUAGAAGAAGUUCAUGAAGGAAUAUGUGAGAAUCAUCAAGGAGCUCGGGCAUUAGCCUUCAACCUCAUAAGGUAUGGGUAUUAUUGGCCAACCAUGAAGAAAGAUGCUAAGGAAUAUGUCAAGAAGUGUGACAAGUGCCAAAGAUUUAGCAAUGUCAUCCACCCUUGUAAUGCCCCGACCCCUAGUGGACCAGAACGCUACUAACUUUACUUAGCUUAACCGGCGGUUUAGUAACAAGUGUAUACGUUUUAGCGGAAGCUUACAUCUUCGGAUAAUAAUUUAAAUAAAAAUACUUCAAAUACUUUAAAGAAAAACACUGAAUCAUUUUUCAAAACAACAAAAUGUAAUUUAUUUGAAGAAAAUAUAACUUGUUCUCGCAUUCUGCGUUAUUCAAAACUUUAAAAAAAUAACAUUGGAAAACAUUUCAUAAAAAUAAAUACAUAUCACUUAUUCAACAGAUUUCCAUGGGCUCGUUGCAUCACUCUCCAUCUUCUCCUCCAUCCAUGCCCAAGGUAGAAUUCCUUCAAUCUGUAGAGAUGGGAUUAAACCCGUGAGUUGAGAAACUCAAUAGGUGUCAUAGGUGCAUUCGUGAUCAAGCUAUACAUUUCAAAACAUUAACUUUAUAACUUUUCAUACAUGCCGUACCCGGAGGCACCAUUUGACAUGAAGGGGUAUGCCAUACUCGAGGGCACCAUUUGACAUACGAACAUUUCUUCAACAUAGAGGGGUAUGCCAUACCGAAGUACCAUUUGACAUACAACCAUUAACAUAGAGGGAUAUGCUGUACCGGAGUACCAUUUGACAUACAAACAUUAACAUGAAUCGAAACUUAUAACUUAACAUGAUUAAACACAUUACACCUCUACCUACCUUGAUUGAUGCUUUUGAAACUUUGAAAACUUAGAUUGAAAACCUCGAUGAAACUUGGACGUUGAAAGAAAUGCACUCCUUGGAUGUUUGAAAACCGUUGAAAAUUGAUGCUUGAAAACACUUCUUAAACUUCUAGGAAAAAUAGUUUUCCUCCCUCUCUUUUUCUCUCUUGGAAACUCUUUCUUUAGUAUGUAAAAGCUCUUGCUUUUGGUGUAAGAAAAAAAUGAGUGAAAUGAGGUCUCUAUUUAUAGGUAAAUAUCCCAUAACUUAAAGCAAAUGAAGGGUCAAAUUUCAUUUAAGAGAGAAAACAUGGGUGCCAUUUAAGUUUGAGGUUAAAUGCUUCAAUUUAGUGGGGUUAUUAUUGCCAAAAACGUGGGUGGCCCUUUGAGAAAAUAAUUGAUGAAAAUAAAUAUUUAAAUUAUAGAGAAAAAUGAGAAUUUUCAUUUCAGGCAAUUUCGGUCGACCGGUUGUAGUCCGGUUGACAUUACACAGCUUUUAGUGUUUCUAUUAUAACUUCUUCUCUCGAUAUCCGAUUGAGGUAAUUCAAAGUGAGUUGGAAAGCUAACUCAAAGAGCUACAACUUUUAUUUAGAUAUUAUUUUCCAAAUCGAAUGUUUCCUAUGUCGAAAAUGGGUCUCAAAUGAGACUAAAAAUCUGAAGUAUACUUUAGUCAUCCAAUAUUCAUGUCUUAGUGCCACUAAGGUGUCUAGAAUUAUUUGGGGUUCUACAACCCUCCCACAGAGGACCUCACUAGCAUUAGUUGCACAGCCCCAUUUGAGCAGUGGGGAAAUGACAUCCUUGGUCCCUUUCCAAUAACUAGGGGUCAAUUGAAGUUUGUGGCUAUGGCUGUAGAGUAUUUCACUAAGUGGGUGGAGGCCGAGCCUUUAGCAACAGUUUCAGAGCCUACGUUAAGAAGUUUCAUUUGGAGAUCCAUCAUAUGCAGGUUCGAGAUACCGAAAGUCCCCAUAAUUGAUAAUGGCAGGCAGUUUGACAAUGCACAAUUUAAAAACUUCUGUUCCAACCUAGGGGUUGAUCACCGUUUGACAUUGAUUUCCCAUCCUCAAAGUAAUGGUCUCAUCGAAGUGACCAAUUGGAUUAUAUUGCAAGACCUCUGUACAAGGAUUGGGGAUGCAAGAGGUUCUUGGUCUGACGAGUUACCUUCCAUACUUUGGACAUAUAGAACGUCCCACAGAACUGCAAAGGGGGAAACCCCCUUCAUGUUGGCUUUUGGUAUUGAGGCCACCAUCCCUAUUGAAGUCAGGUUGCCCAGCCAAAGAAGGCUUGAGCCCAAAGAUGCAGGGCGCACUACUGAACACCUUGACCUCUUGGAAGAAUUUCGUGAUCAGGCAGCUUUAAGAAUGGCCUCCUACCAAAAUAAAACAGCAAAGUACUUCAAUAAAAAAGUGAGGACACAAAGAUUCAGAGCCGGAGACCUUGUGUUAAGAAAGGCCGAAGUAGCGGAUCAUGAUCUGGGCAAGCUAGGACCAGUUUGGGAAGGGCCCUUUGAAGUCAUACGAUAGCUCCAAGGAAGGGCAUACAGUUUAAAGGAUACAUCAGGAAGACCACUUCCAAGACCAUGGAACGCUGAGAAUUUAAAGAUAUAUUACAAGUAACUUGGUCUUCCAGUUAUCAGUAGUCAGGCAUGCGCGUCAAGGUUCACGUUUUCAAUUUCAGGCCUGCGUGCCAAGGUUUAUUUUUCGAUAGUCAAGCCUGCAUGCCAAGGUUCACAUUUUUAGUUGUCAGGCCUGCGUGCCAAGUCUAUUUUCAAAAGUAUAAUAAGAAUUAAGCUAUUCGUCAAAAUAUGAUCUAGCUGCUAAAAGCCUUGCCCCGCGCAAGCAACUCAAGCCUUGCCCCGCGCAAGUAAUCAAAAAGCCUUGCCCUGAGCAAGCAAUUAAAAAGCCUUGCCCCGUGCAAGAAACUCAAGCCUUGCCCCGCGCAAGCAAUCAAAAAGCCUUGCCUCUUGCAAGCAAAAUCAAAAAGCCUUGCCUUAAGCAAGCAAUCAAGGCUAAAACUUCAUUUAGGUGAUCACACAGUGCCCGAUCAACGAUGUGAGAGAUCUUAUAAAAAGGCCAUUACUGUCCUCGGGAAUCAUGCUAUAGGUCGAUACAAUUACAUUGGCAUUGAGUCCUCGAGAUAAACAUGCAUAAUAUGCUCGAGCUCAAUGGAUAAUGUCAAAAAAUGAUUUUACAAAUUGAGUCCUCGAGAUAACUUGUACACAUGCUCGAGCUCAAUACAUAAUUUCAAAAAUAAUUUUGUAAAAUUCAGUCCUCGAGAGAGUAUUAUUUGUCGAGCAUGACAAAAAUAAAUCUUUGUUGUUGUGAAUAAGUACAACAAGGCUAAAACUUCAUUUAGGCGUCGAGUUAUUUAAUUUGUCUAGGCGUCGAGUUAUUAAAUCAUCUUAGGUGUCGAGAUAUUAAUACAUCUUAAGCGUCGAGAUAUUAAUACAUCUUAGGCGUCGAGCUGUUUAAUAAAUCUUAGGCAUCGAGUUAUUUAAUUUCUCUAGGUGUCGAGUUAUGGAUUCUCUUAAAGUCGGGCUAGGUCACAUCACUUAGUAUAGUUCUCAAAUGAACUUAAAGCUCAAGCAAACAUAAUCGAGUAACAUAGCAAGAAACGCAAGUUAAGCUCAAGAAGAACACAUUGAUUUCAAAAACUGAUUAAUCAAGUACAAGAGCCAAGAGUAUACAAAGACAAAAAGAAAAACAGAAACUAAUCUAGGUCCUCGGCUCUUUCUCCUAAGGCCGUGCUUACUUGCUCUUUUGCCAUGUCCUCGCCGUCAAUAUCGACCUCUUGGUCCUCCACGGUUUCCUCGGACUCUGAAAGCUCGAGGUCUUCAGCAACCUCAAGGAUGCUCUUUAAAUCCUCGGGCUUUGUGUCAGGCUUCAACCACAAAAAUGCCCGAGCUUCUUUCAAAGAGUGGAAGUACGAGCCCAUGGUGUACUCUCCCUUCAGCCCGCUGAACUCCUCGGACAUUUUGAAAUCUUCGAUCGCAAUGCCUCGAGCUUCAGUCAGGUGAGUUUCAAAAUCCCUCUUCAAACGCUCGAUCUCGAGCUUUAAAUCCUCAGCCUCGCCCUUGGCCACUCCAGCCUCUUCCCAAGCUCUCUGAAGGUCGUUCUUCACCUCAUUACACUCCUUCUGGAGAAGGAAGCGCUCAGCCUCCAUGUCAGAUAUCCUCUUCUCAUGUGCUCGAGAAGUAUCCUCAAGCUCAACAGUUCUCUGUGCCUCGUCUUUCUCCUUCAGAGAGAGGCCUCAAGCAAUACUCAGAGUCUGCAAUAUACAAAACCCAAGCUUAAAUGAUCACAUCAUAUAAACCCAUAAAUUACACCAAGUAAGUUGAGCGAUCUUACUUUCAGCAUAAAGGAUUCAAGAGCUUUCAUACCUUCAUCAAAGCCGAGGUCCUUUCAAUAUUUGUCCACGAUGCUCGACACCAGAGGACACCAAUCAGGAUCUCGAUUUUGGAAUGAAGGCACAGGAGGGACCCCAUCCUCGAGGUCAACAACCUCGGGGGUACUCCUUGAUCGAGGACGUGACCGAGGAUGGGCAAUUGGAGUUUCAUGAUCCUGAAUGAUCGGGGAUUGUCCCCGGGCAGAAGGUUUGCUUGGUCCACUCCUAAUAUUCUCGGGACCUAAAUCAUGAGCUCUCUUCUUUCCUCUUUUUUGACCUGGAGCUCGAGCCUGAGGGGCCUUGGACUUUUUAUUCAUGGCCUGUCUAAGGGCUGAAGGAUCAAAAGUCAUCUCUGCAAAAACAAGUCAUUAACAUGAGCACAAUUAUACAUUAUAGAUCGAUGAGGAAGAAGGCAAAAGGACGAUCCCUACCCUCAAUGCCUUUCACAUCCGUAAGAUCGAGAACGUCAUCCCCGACGAUGUCAUCUAUAUCAUAGACAAGAGGCUCAAGGUUCUCUAACAUCUCCCUAUGCCUUUCUAAAGACUCGAAAUAGGUCUGGCCUUUACGAAACCUGGUAGUGUCGGGCAAAACCCACCUAGGACUAAAAGGAAAGUCGCUAUCCUAAGGUAUGACAUAAAACUACUUUUCUUUCCACCCUUUUAAAGAACUGGGCAUCCUCAGUACUCUAAAACCUCCUCGAGAUGAAAGGUAGGCAAAACAAGUAUAUUGAGGUAGCUGUUUCAGGUCGAAGACCAUUCUACAAAGAUCAAUGUGUGGGUUAAUUCCUAGCUAUCUACAGGCUAUAAAAAAGUAGGUGAGCAUCCUCCAUCCAUUUGGCACGAGCUAUCCAGGGCUCAUGUUGUGCUCGACCAAUAAAGUCACAAAGAAGGGGUGCAGGGGCCAUCUAAAUCCGCCCUUCAGUGAGUCCCUAAAAAUUACAAACUCUCCAUCCCGAGCAAAGGCCAUUCUAUCCUCUCCCCCUGGCGUCCUAAUAUCACACUUCGGCAUGAGCCCGUGCUCCCUAGCCGUCAAUAUCGCUAGAUGCUCUUUAAAUUUACAAGAGGCCUCGAGGUACCUAAAUGGGGUCGGGAUACUUUGUGCCCGAGGUUGGGCAUUAAUAGGCACGGUCAUGGGUAUGAUCAAGCAUCCUACACCCUCGAGAGUAUUCCUCGAGGAGGAGGACGAAGACUCACUACUACUACUACUAGACAUCCUGACCUAGGUAAAAAAGUGCCUAAAGAAUAACUUAAGAUCUCGAGGUCUAACCUUAAAGUCGACGCCUAAAAACCCCACCAAAGUUCUGAUCUCGACGAUUAGCAAGAGAAGGUUUACUGAGAGUAAAAAGUGAAAAAUGAAAUGUGGAGAGGGUAUUUAUAGGCAAUAGGAACAGGUAGUCCAAAAAUCACUACCCCGACUGUCAGAUCUGGCCACGUGUCCUACAUCCAACACAUACCAUUUUUACCGCCUUUUCUUAUUUAGGGCUUACCUCAGUACACAUCAGCCCUUCUGAACACCUGUCUUCAAAAACUUCCUCGAGCUCACGUACCUAAGCUUUUUGCCUUCAAGCCUCUUUGCAUCAUAUCCUCGAGUGAAGGCUUCGAGCAUAUGUGCACGGGGGCCAAUGAUACUGACAUUUCGAGAUAACCCGAUCACCAUAUUAUCCCGAGGAUUACGCUACCCUUUUUAUGAUAUCAAUACAUUAAUGCUCGGUCAUUUAUCCCGACGACAAAUCUUGGAUAAACUUGCAAUUCCACAUAUGAAGUGCUUGAGCAUAUACUCACCUCGGGAGAUUAUGCUCGAGCACUCCCUGUCUUGCUGCUUUAACAUAUUACGAUGGUUGUCCUGGAGCAUAAGUAGUCCUCGAGUAUAUAUGUUCUCCUCAUAACUUUCGAUUGUUGACCCUUUAAUUCCUAUGCAAUUAGGACUGUAACUCAACCAUAUACUUGACUCCCGCAAGGAUUUUAUCCCACCCAAGAUUAUGGCAUUGGUCCAGUUCCUUCGCCUAAUAAGAAUCUGUUGGAUAGAGAUACCCAAAUAUUUGAAUCCCACUAGGAGAAUAUCGCUUACUACUAUAAAUACAAAACCCUGAGCCAUUAUUUAGGUACGUUUUUAUUAUUCUCCAGUUUAUAGCCUCACGCAUAUAAUUUCCUUUCUGACUUAAGCAUCGGAGGGGCGACGAGAACAUACCUCGUUGCCUUUGUUUCAGGUAUCAGAAGACUACGAUCAUGCUCAGUCCAAAUCAACAAGCUUGGGAAAUCUGCAGGUAUGAUUUUUGGUAGCAUCACUUUCCAUCCACAGACUUACUUUUCCAUAUUUCUGGGUCAUAACCUUAUCCUUCUUAUUUAUUCGAAUGGUUGUAUGAGAAAAAUGAGAAUUGAAUUAAAUAUAAUAUUUCGAUUAUUUAGUUCUUCAUUUUCUCUUUCUUUUAUUUAUUCAUUUAUUUUUUUGGGUGGGGGUGGGGGUGGGGGUAGCGGGCAAAAUAUUCACCAACGUCCAUGAACAAGACUCUCUUUAUAGGUGAUGUUGUCUCUAGACAUGCUAAUCUAAAUUAGGGCCUUUGGGUAUCCAAUUUUUAGAAGUAAUGAAUUUCCUCAUUUUUAUGCUCAAUAUGUAACGUACAAGGUAGAAUAUUUACGUAGUGCAAAAGUAUAUGUUUGCCUUUAAAUAUUUAGUUUAUCAAUGAAAUUUGUUGAGGCUCGAAUCAAUGAUAUGUGAUGUGCUCCCAAAAUUUGGCUAAAGUCUCAUUACUGGAAAUGUAACUCUUUUUAAUUGAGGCUUUUUUGCAGAAUGACGGCACAUAUCCUUAUCUUGGCCCUUCAUUUGGUUUAUUUGAUGCCUUAGAUAUAAAAGGCACACAGUGCAUUUCACUUGACAAUUCUACCUGUCCAGUUCUUCCAAUGGUAUGAGUUUGAGAGAUAAAUGUCUUUUCUGUUGAAGGCUAAGGUUUUGGUCUAUGGUUUUUUUCUCUCUUGAAAAACUCAUUCAAGACUGAGAUCUACUUUUAGCCUCUGAUAUCAGUAAUAUGCUAAGUGAUUACUGAAAGAAUGAGAGGGUUCUUUCAGCUAUAGUUUAAGUAGGCAUGUUGAAGUUUCUUGGGUAAUUCUUUGUUGUUCAGCAGUUUAUUAUUGAAGAUGUAAGUAUCUUGUACUUUUCUGUUUUGUUGAAAAAAUUGAUAUGUAAUCUUUGUUGCCAUUUUAGACUAUAUAGGCGCUAGAUAUAGUCGUCGAACCUGUGGGACUUAGAUUGAAAGAAAUUGCUUGUGCUCAAUCUUUUAAUUUUCUACGAGUUUACUUUCAGUUGUUUGUAACAACAUGAAAUCUUGUUUUAUUAUCUUGUUAUCUAGGACUUUUCAGCAGUAUUAGAGCUUAGACUGAGAACAAGAUACCUAGAUCUUUGUAGAAAGAGAUAAAUUUGUUGCAAAUCUAAAGUAUUUUUGAACUUCUGUUAAGCAAAACCGAAAGACAUCCUGUUUUUAUAAACUCACUAGGUGAGAUCCUUUAAUUUUUGUAAAAUAUUUUUCAAAAUUUGAGUUUCUUGAUUUUUCCUUGAUUGACCAUAUGCUGAAACCAGUGAAGAUUAAUCUUUGUCCAAAGGCUCAAAUGAGGCUUCUUGCAGAAGAAAUCUCUGAAACAUAGACUUGUGAUCUCUGAUAUUGUGUUCUUAAUUUGUUUGUUCUGCACGUUCCUUGACUGUGAUUGAAACUUGAAAAAAUCUUGUACUACUAAGUGUACUGCUGUGAUUUGCGAUUGAUACUUUUUUGUAAGUCUCUAAUUGAGCCGUAUUAAUUUUUUACUCCAAUUUGCGCAUCACUGUUAAUAACAAAAAUGGCAUCUACUAAGUUUGAAGUUGCACAAUUUAAUGGGAAAGGUGACUUUAAUAUGUGGAGUCAAAAGAUGAAAGCCAUUUUAAUGCAAAUGAUUAGAGCUUAGACAAUGGUUUACCUGUAGACUUACUUCAUACAAAGAAAGUUGAACUUGAAAAGGUUGUCUGGAAUACUAUUUUCUUAUACUUUUCUGACAAUGUGAUAAGGACUAUUGGUGAAUCCCAGACUGCUUCUAAACUUUGGAUCAAACUUCAUGCUAAAUAUGUGACUAAGACUAUUCCAAAUAAGUGUUAUGUGUUAAAGCAAUUCUUAUCUUUCAAAAUAGAUCUUUCAGUUGACUUGGAUGAUAAUUUGAAUAGGUUUACUAAACUGGCCCAAGACUUACCCAACUGCAAUGAAAAACUUUCAAAAGACCAACUGAUUGUAGUCUAGUUAAAUUCCAUUAGUGAUAGAUAUAGAGACAUUAGGAUUUCACAAAAUAUGGUAUGGGGAAAAUUACAACCGAUGAAAUCAUUAAUGCUCUAAAAAAUAAUUCUCCUGAAUUAAAUCUGAAAUAAAAUAAAGUGUUAGCAAGAGGAAAAGGAUUUAGUGAACAUAAUUUUCACUCAAAGAGCUUAAAACGAAAACAAGAAUAAGUGGAGUGAUAAAAAUAAAUCCAAAAAUAAGGCACAAGGCAAGAAAUGCUAUUAUUGUGGAAAAUUGGGUUAUUUUAUUAAUGACUGUUAUAAGAAGAAAAAUGAAUCAAAAGAAAAGAAAUUUGAUGAUAAGAAUAAUGCUUUAGCCUGUAAUAAAGAAAAUAUUGAAGAUGGAAUGGUCCUUUUUAAUAUUGAAAUAAAACUCAGUGAUAAAUGGAUACUUCAUUCAGGUUGUUCUUAUCAAAUGUGCUCAAAUAAAAACUACUUUCUUGAAUUUGAAAAUCUAAAAAAAAAAAAAAAGAGUGAGAGAGAGAGCCACAAGACGGCAAGUAAUAAUGGGAAAUAACAUGACAUGUAAAGUAAAUGGAAAAGAAACUUUAAAGCUAUUACUUAAAUGGUAAUGUUCUAUUUUUUUUAAAUGAAUUAGAUAUGUUUCUGAUUUAUGAAGGAUGUAUCUCUAAGCAUGUUAGAUGACAUAGAGUUUGACGUAAAAUUAGGUCAAGGACACGUUAAGAUUCUUAGGGGUACUAAUUUGAUCAUUAGCACUGAUAAGUGUGUUUUUACACACUUAUUUAGUUCAUAAAUAUGACUUAUUUAUGAUCAAAGAAUUUGAAUUAUGGCUUAAUUCUAUGUGAUUAUAUUUUGUAGGAUAAUAUUGAUGAAUGUACUGGAAUUCAAGAGAAAAGAAAAGAAAAAGAACCAAAAAGGAAGAAAAUUCAAAGUAUGAGGACUAAGUUACAACAUUUUAAUAGUUGAUUCAGAUCACAAAAUGAAGACUAAAGAUGUUGCAGGUUUAAUUGGAUUAAAUUAAAAGUCAAAGGGUUGAAAAUGCAAGAGAAAGGAUUUGAAAGAACCAAAAAUCGACUUUGGGAGCUAAAAUACAACAUACGGAAGAAAUUUUGCCUGGGUGAUAGCCCAGUUAUAAAUAUCGGACGAUCCCCUAACAUAAUUUUUUAAUUAUCGAGAAGAAAUUCUUGGCCUGGGCGACAGCCCAAGCCAAUCGCGGCGAGAAAAUCUGGUUUCCUUUUCUGAAUGAAAUUCUUAUGGAAACAAAUCUUGGGGGAGUCUUUUAAAGCCCUAGGGACAUUCAAAAACAUAGACCAUGCAUUCAACAUUGUUUUGGGAGGAUUUGAAGAGAAAAAAGAAGGAAGAACAAGAAGAUUCAAUCCAAGAUUCAAGUUCUCACUUCAAGAAUUCAUUAGGAUGAUGUCUUUUCUUGAUUUGUAUUGUUGUGUUCUUCUUCCCAUCAUGUUAGGCUAGAAAAAUGUAUACUAGGAGAUCGAUGAACCUUGUAAUGUGAUAUUUAAUUCUUUGUUCCGUAUUUUGACAUUAAAACACGUAUUGAUUGUUUGAAUGAUUUAUAUGCAUUUAAUUGCCUCCAUGAUUAUGGGUCUGUAAUUGUGUGAGUUUUUGUGGUUUGUUUCAUCUAUUCGAAAGAAUAGGAAUAAAUUCGACAAGGUACAAAUCAUCGUAGGGUCCGAUAGAGGAUAGAAAUAUACCCAUAUGCUUUGCGUGAAUCUCUAAGUACUCACAAAACUACAUGUAUUCUCGUAUAUUUGCAUCCGUCAUAGAGAUAUAGGCUGGUUGUGUAUGAGGAUAGGUUCAAUUCAUCUCGAGAGAGAGUGUUGGAUAGAUUUAGGAGUAUUGAUUCUUAAACAUGUCACCGUGUUGUCAAAGUUUGGAAUUGAAGUUAAAUUGAACAUUACUUGAGAAUUCGUGAUCCUAGUAUAUCUCACAUUCAUUUAAUACAUUUAACCUGAGUCCCAAUUAUCAAACUGCAUUUUAGUUAAAUUAAACGUUGUUUUGCAUAGCAUACCAUCCAAUUCAUAAUAUUUGUACUCGAGCUUAGAUUUAGAAUUUCUUAGGAUAAAAACUCAUAAUUGAUCAUUAUUACUUGUUAACGAAUCGUACACUUGCAGUGAUUUAAAUCGAAAGGAAAUAUUUCGUGAACAAAUUUUUUGCGCCGUUGCCGGGGAUUGAGUAUUGUUUAAUUUUAUUUUUCUAGGCACUAAUUCGAACUUGAAAUUUCUAUUUUUAUUAAUUUUUGUUUAGGUUAUUUUAUUUUUAUUUUUAUUAUAGUUCUUCAAAUUGUUUGAAUCUGAGUGAUACUAGCGAUUUUCUCACAGAGAUGCAUGCUAAGAUCGAUUGGCGGAGAAUUUUAUUCCAGUUGAUCCUGAAAUUGAGCGCACUUUUCAUCGACUGCAAAGAGAGACUCGAGAAGCACAGUUGCAAAUGGCUAACGAACCUAACAACCAUGUUAUCCCAACUAAUGAAGGAGAAGGCGGUAAAUGAAGGAAAUGAAAUUUUGGAAGAUUUCUAGACUCCUCAAGUAAUUCAAAGCUAGUCCAACAUAGUGUAUCCACCGUUUAGGCAGCCUAAUUUUCAACUGUCGACUACUAUGAUACAGCUGUUUUAGAAUGGACACCAAUUUUAUGGCAGAGUCGAAGAAAAUCCACGUACACACAUAUCUUGAAUCUUGGAUAUGUGUCAACACUUUAGGUAUAAUGGAAUUUUGGAUGAUGCUAUUAGGCUAUGGUUGUUUCCAUGUCCACUGCGGGAUAAGGCAUCUGAAUGGUUGGAUUCACUUCCUAUUGCAAGCAUCAUUACUUGGAACAAGUUGGCUCAUAAAUUCUGACGAAAUUGAGACAUGAGAUAUCGAUAUUCAGUCAAGGGAAAUCUGAAUUAUUUGACAAAGCCUGGAAUAGAUUCAAAAAUAUGCUCCGGAAGUGCCCUUAAUAUGGGUUCGAUAAAAAGACCCAAAUCUGAUUCUUCUAUAUAUGGUUAUUGUCGUACUUCAAAAGCAUGGUGGACUCAUCAUCAGAUGGCUCAAUAUCUACAUGAACAAUGGAUGGAGCAUUGGAAUUGUUUGAGAAAAUGGCUACCACUUCAGCUAUGUGGUCCUAUGAGCUGGUGAUUCAGAAGAAGCCUCCAAGUGUCUAUGAGGUAGAUGCAUAUUCAACCUUAUUAGUAAAGAUUGACUCACUAGUUCAUAAGGUGAAAAGUACCACAGUCAGGAAAUGUAGCAUAUGCAAAGAAACCAAAUUGUGAAGAAUGUGGAGCGAAUUAUAGUACGGUGGAAUGCCCAAUUCUGUCAUAGGGAAUGGAACAAGUAGAGUACGCGCAAUGGGGUUAACAUCAACAAAACUAUCAAAAUUCAAAUAGUUACAAUCAUAGUUGGAAAGAACAUACAAAUCUCUAGUGGGGUAGUACCUAAAAUCAGAAUAGAUCCCAGAGGCAAUUUCAACAAGAGAAGACACUUCAAUUAGAAGAGAUGUUUGCAAAGUUCAUGGAAAAUACUGAGAAAUACAUAGAAGCAAAUAACCAGUUCAUAAGAAAAAUUGAAACUACUUUGCGAAAUCAGAGUGCCGCAAUUAAAAACUUGGAGACACAAAUAGGACAGAUGGCACUCGCUAUGAUGAAAAUGGCACCAGAUAUGUUACCAAGUAAUAUUGAGUUGAAUCCUAGGGAGCAUGUUCAAGUGAUAACAACUCGAAGUGGGAUGUAACUACCUAAAAUACACAUUGAAAAGCCAAGUAUAAACAAUAAGAUAACACUCUCUACAGAAGAAGAAAUUGUACAGCACGACGAACGGACACAUGAAUCCACACCAAAGGAGAAUUCAAAGACUUCAUGGGGUAAGGCCACCAUUCCAGUUAACCCCUAUGAGCCACCCAUUCCAUUUUCCUAGAGGUUGAGGAAGCACAGGAUGGAGAACAAUAUAAGAAAUUUCUCGAAAUCUUCAAAAAACUCUACAUCAACAUCCCGUUCGCCGAUGUACUAUUCCAGAUGCCCAGCUAUGUAAAGUUUUUGAAGGACAUAUUAUCAAAUAAACGCAAGCUGGAGGAUAUGAGACAGUGAUGCUAACCAAAGAAUGCAGCACCAGGAUCCAAAAAAAGCUCCUACCAAAACUAAAAGAUCCAGGGAGCUUCACUGUCCCUUGCACAAUUAGUGAUUUUUAUUUUAAUAAAGCAUUGUGUGAUCUUUGUGUGAGUAUUAACUUGAUGUCACUCUCUAUUUUUAGGAAACUAGGAUUGGGAGAGCCUAAAGCAACUAUAGUAACUCUAUAGCUGGCUAGUCGAUCACUUACACAUCCACGAAGGAUUAUCGAAGAAGUAUUGAUCAAAGUGGAUAAACUUAUAUUCCCAGUGGACAUCUUAAUUCUGGACAUAGAAGACGACAAGGACAUGCCUAUCAUAUUAGGGCGGCCAUUCUUGGCAACUGUAAGAGCUCUCAUAGAUGUACAAUAAGGACAAUUGACUCUGGGACUGGGGGAGGAGUGGGCCUCUUUUAAUGUUUUCAAAGCAAUGUGAAAUAUCCCACCGAGCCAGACACCUAUUUUCAGAUUGACUUGAUUGACAUAGGAAUUCCCUACAAUUACGAGUUGAAGAAACCGUUAGACAUUCAGGAGGUCGAUAUGAUGCACCCUCAAUCCACUCUCACUGACUCAAAGGAGAUCGAGGUAUACACUGUGGAGUCUCAAACAGAUAAUGAGGGAGAGUCACACCACUUGGAAAAAGACAGGUUUGAAGUGUGGAAGAUAACUGCAAUGCGGAACAAGACCAUAUUGAACAAACUACGCAGGACUUCCCAAGCCAUAUUUAAAGUGCCAUAACAUGCCUAUGCCAUAAGUCGAGCUAUCAACUAUAAAAUAGUGCUGGUUGAUAGGCAACCCAACGUUUGUAUCCUUUCAUUUACUUCGUUUGGCAAUAGUUUAGGAACCUUUCAUUUUUUUAGCAUUAUCAAUAGUUUUAGGUCAUCGGUCAUGCAUCCCUAUCACAUGGAAUCUAGGCAUGGUCCACACGAGUCCCAAUGCACUAAGCACGAGUUAUGAGCUUGAAGUCCUAUUUUAGUCAAUCUUGUGUCAAAUUGAACAAAGUGAAUGUUUUGAGUGAAGUUUCAUUGGUGAUUCAUAUUUUUGUGAUAUAAACCCUAUGUUGAGACAUAAAUUAUGCAUUCUGCACACCAACAAUGUACACAUGCACCUUGAAACAAGUUUGGGGGAUUUGUGCACUACCUAGGUUAUUUCUUACCUCAGUUGCAUCUGUUUACACCAUGUAAACUAAUACGCAUACUUUGCACUUUUACAGGAUGCUGUCAAAAAAAAUGUCACAGGGAAAGGAGAAACACUACGGGUCCUAAUUUUCAUUCAACACCUCCAUAUAGAUCAGGAGAGUACUCGUAUCCCAUCUUGCACUUUUAGUUUAUUAUUGUCCUUCAAUUAUGUCUGUUUAUACUUUUAUUUCAUCUUCACAUUGAGGAUAAUGUAUUAUCUAAGUUUGGGGGUGGUGACAUAAUCUUGGACACGAACAUCUUUUCAUCAUUUUGCCUAUAUUCAUCAAUAUCUAUGUUUUAUGACUGCAUAUCAUGUGCUUGAUGAGUGUUAAAAAAUUCUUUGCAUUUUAUUCAGUUUGCUGUUUUUCCAUUCUUGCAUGAUUAUAUGGGCUUGAUAGUUUUGCCAGCUAUGAUGUGAUAUUGGAUUGGUAUAAAUUACAAACUGUGGAUAUGGUGCUGAAUAGAUUAACCAAUACUUAUUGAUGUAAUGCUUGACAUUCUUUAUGCACCCCACUUAUGCUCAACAUGUUAGGUUAGUGAUUGGGGUUUUGAACAUAAAGUAGGAAAAGAAUGAUAACCCUCUACUAAAUCAAAUAGUAAACUACCUUAAGAUGGUUUGGAGAUGGUUGAACAAUCAUAGGAAAGCAUUGAGAUAAGUGGGGGCUCCGUACAUGAAUUCUAUUGUGUGGAUUGCUUAGACCAGUGAGAUGAAAAUCUUAAAUUGAGGGUUAGUUUUGGAGGCUAAAUGUCUAGAAAAAUAAUAAAGGGCAUAAAUCUAACUUGUGUAAACAGGACACCUUUUUCAUGUCUUUAUAAUUCGAGCAAGUAAGCUUGUAAGGAUAUUUUAAAAUUUGGUGCCGUAAAGCUAACAAGCUUGGGAGUCAUCAACCCAAAGCUCAUUACAUGGAUCAUACAAAAAGCAAAAGGGGAAGAGAUGAAUAAAAAGUUAUCCGAUCAAGCCUUUAUAACUCGAGUAAAUAAGCCUGCAAGGGUUUAAAACCUGAUGCCCUAAAGCCAACAGUUUGGGAGUCAUCGGCCUAAAGCUCGCUACAGGGGUUAUACAAAAAGAAAAUGAGAAGAUAACAUAAAAAAAAUAUUCAGAAAAUAAGUGAGAAAAGACACGAUAACAUCAAGAGACCCUUGGAUAUUUGGUUGAAGAAACUAUACCUUUGAGGCGAGCUUAGUAACUUAGUUUAAUCUUAAGUGUUGAAGCAAUCAAAUCUAGAAAGCCUUCAUUUGUUAAUAUGUGAGCUUGUGAUAGUGAGAUUUAUCCACACUAAGAAAGGGUAAGGACUGUAGAUACCCAAAAUCCUAACUUUAAAACACAACCCCGGGAUAACUGAGUGAAAAGAAUAAGUUUGGGGAUUGUGUACCUCUCGAGCGAAGAAAGGACAUAUUUGACCACUAUGGGUUGGGACUAACCCCAUCAUAAACUAAAUAUGUUAGCAUGAUUUCACACAUGCACGUCGGGUAUGCAAUUAACAGGUAAAGGUUGAUUUCAUUCUUACACUAAUCAAAAAAAAAAUUUAAGUUAAAUACUUAGUCUAGUCCCGAGAUAGGGCAAGUUAUUAAGUCAUGUUUGUUUAGUAUUGAGCCACUAUUUUUUUGAGGAUAAACAAUAGUUUAAGUUUGAGGGGUUUGAUAAGUGUGUUACUACACACUUAUUUAGUUCAGAAAUAUGACUUAAUUAUAAUCAAAGAGUUUGAAAUAUGGCUUAAUUCUAUGUAAUUAUGUUUUGUAUGACUAUAUUGAUGAAUGCGGUAGAAUUUAAUAAAAAAGANUUUACUUCUUAAUAAUAAAACCUGGGAAGUGGUUGAAAGACCUAGAGGAGAUAAGCUAACUGAUUGUAAGUGAAUUUAAAUGAUAGAAGAAGGUGGAUGGGGAAAUAAAAGUAUUAGUUAUAAAGCUAGACUUAUAGCUAAUGGGUUCACAUAAAAGGAAGGUGUUGACUAUACUGAAAUUUUUUCAUCAUAGUUAAAUAUACAACUAUUAGAUGCAUUCUUGCUCAUAGUGUUAGCAUAAUUAGUAGAUUCAUGAGUAACCCUGAAGAAGAACAUUGUAAUUCUUUAAAGUGGCUUCUAGGAUAUCAGGAAGAAAUUUUAGAUUUUGGACUUGUUUUUAAAAUGAAUAAAGAUGGGAUAACUUUUAAAGGUUAUACAGAUCGUGAUUUUGCUAGAAAUAGAGAUAAUAGGAAAUCUGUUUUAGCUUAUUUCUUUACACUGUGUGGCACUGUAAUUAGUUGAAAAUCUCAAAUUUAUAAGGUUGUGGCUUUGUCCUCAAUUGAAAAAAAUACAUUGUUGCUUCUGAUGCUAUUAAAGAAUGUAUUGGUUAAGUAGGCUAUUGAGUGAACUUGGUUUUACUGACGAAAAUGCAAUUCUGCACUAUGAUAAAAGUGCUUUACAUCUGAAUAAAAAUUUCAUGUUUCAUGAUAGAACUAAACACAUAGACAUUAAAUGUCAUUUUAUUAAAGAUAGUAUUUCAUGAUAAUUAUGAAAAUUGGUAAGCUUUGUACCCAAUUUAAUCCUUCAGAUAUGGAAACUAAAACAAUACAUUUAAACAAAUUUCAUAAUUGUUUGAAGUUAUUAUCUAUUGAUACUUUGUAAUGUAUAAAUAAGUACUUAGAGCAAAUGAAAAUUAAAUUACUAAUAUUACUCUUGGCUGUACUUUUGAUCCCAAAUUUUUGGUAGCAAAGUAAAAGUUGUUGAAGCUCGAACCAGUGAUCUGUGUGAUGUGCUCCCGAAAUUUGGUUAAAUUCACAUCACUGGAUAUGCAACUCUUUUGAGUUGAGGCUUUUAUAUAGGAUGGCAGCACGUGUCCUUAUCUUGGCCCUUCAUUUAGCAUCUUUGAUGUAUUAGAUAUAAAAGGAACACAGUGUCGUUUCAUUUCUUCUUCUUCUGACGGUUUAGUCCGAAAGAUAAAUGCAUUUUCUGUUGAAGGCUAGGGUUUUGAUCUAUAGUUCUUUUCUCUCUUGAACAACUCAUUCGAGAUUGUGAUCUAUUUUUAGCCUCUAAUAUCUACAAUAUUUUGAGUGAUUCCUGAAAUAAUGAGAGGGUUCCUGCAGUUAUAGUUUCAGUAGGCAUGUUCAAGUUUGUUGAGUGAUUCUUCGUUGAUCUCAUUUUAUAAUUGAAGAGAUAAGUGUAAUGUACUUCUCUCUUGUGUUGGAAAAAUCAAUAUGCAAUCUUUGUUGCAAUUUUGGGCGAUUUAGUGCAACUGAGAUUGUCAACGGGGGAUGUAGGCGUUAUAUGAUCACGAACCUCCGAGGCUUAGGUCGAAAGAAAUCGCUUGUGUUCAAUCUUUUAAUUUUCUACAAGUUUAUUUUCAGUUGUUUGUGAUUACACGAAAUCUUGUUUUAAUACUGUGUGACUUGGGCCUUUUUAAAAUGUCCAACUAUAAACUGGUAACCUUGUUCUACAAAGUGAUAUUUUAGGAAUUGGACACUGUAAUAUUAAAUAAUAUACAAGAUAGACCAUCGAUGCAUAUGGAAAUGUUAGAAUGGUUCCUCAUGUACUUUAUAGAACAUUGUAAUAUAAUUCAGUGAUUAAUUGUGUAUGUCUUGUGUGUAAAAAUAAGCUGAUUUAUUAUCAUCAAGUUUUAUUCAUGCUCAUCUUUUUUGGUGUUAAUUUUUCAAAUAGUCAUUGAACUUUGCCAAAAAAUUUCAGGAAGUCACCGAACUUCAAAACUUUCCUAAAUAAUCACUGAACUGUGCCAAAAGUUCCCAAAAGGUCACCGAAUUUCAAAACUUUCCUAAAUAGUCAUUGAAUUAUGCAAAAAGUCCAUAAGGAGUCACUAAACUACUGAUGUAUGGGGUCCCAAUUUGCAAAGUUGAGUGACCCCUUAGGAACUUUUUACAAAAUUCAGUGACCAUUUAGGAAAGUUUUGAAAUUCGAUGGUCUCCAAGGAACUUUUGAUAAAGUUCAAUGAUUAUUUAGGAAAGUUUUAAAAUUCGGUGACCUCUUGAAAACUUUUGACAAAGAUCAGUGAAUAUUUGAGUAAUUAACUCUCUUUUUUGUGAUGCAUAAUUAUUCUUUCAUCUUAUUGUCCUUCAAAUGUUUUCUGUUUAUGCCAUGGCACCUGAGUAAGUGGCGUGUUGAGACCCACUUGGAUGUUUGAAUGGCCUAUAAUUUAUACCAUUAUGUAAUGUGCUAUCUCUCAUAAGAUUUCAUGGUGUCAUCUUUAUGGAACUUCGUGAUUACAUAAUUUUGCGAUGUUCAAAUUUUAAAUAAAUCCUAAUAGUGUUUCUUCAUUUAUAUCCUCUAUUAUUUUGCAGCACUUUAUAAUUUGAACAUAGAGAACUGUUCGAUCACAUCAAGAACAAUUCAAAAGGUUGCCGAUUCACAGGAUUCUGAAUCUGUACUUAUGAAUCUUUGUUUAGGUACCUCCAUUUUAACAAGUCAAGAGUUCCAUCUUUGUAGUCUAUCUGUAUCUGACAAAAAAUGUUUUCACGUUAUUUUUUCCCUUUAUUUUAAAUAGGAUCCAACAACCCAGUAUCUGGAAAUGCUAUAGUUAAUCUUUUUCUCAAACUUGCUACUUUAAAGAGGUUUAAAUGAUUAUUAAAUUAUUUUUCCUUUUCGAUAACAUUUUUAUGUGUCUGGG
Molecule: long non-coding RNA, 27944 nt
Filed under: Olea europaea subsp. europaea
Lineage: Eukaryota; Viridiplantae; Streptophyta; Magnoliopsida; Lamiales; Oleaceae
Source: RNAcentral